RNAcentral lists this ribosomal RNA (270 nucleotides) under uncultured bacterium. Its description in RNAcentral is "partial 16S ribosomal RNA". It matches the Rfam family "Bacterial small subunit ribosomal RNA", at positions 88 to 354 of the family's 1533-position model. The record is from RNAcentral.
CCGGCGACCGGCGCACGGGUGAGUAACACGUAUGCAACCUGGCCGUCACAGGUGGAUAACCGGAAGAAAUUCCGACUAAUACAGCAUAACACUCCUGAGGGCCAUCCUUCGGGAGUCAAAGGAGGCAACUCCGGUGACGGAUGGGCAUGCGGCGCAUUAGGUAGUUGGUAGGGUAACGGCCUACCAAGCCGACGAUGCGUAGGGGUUCUGAGAGGAAGGUCCCCCACAUUGGAACUGAGACACGGUCCAAACUCCUACGGAAGGCAGCAG